UUCCGGUUGAUCCUGCCGGACCUGACUGCUAUCGGAUUGAUACUAAGCCAUGCUAGUCUUUGUAGUAAUACAAGGCAUACGGCUCAGUAACGCGUAGUCAACCUACCCUAUGGACGGGGAUAAUCUCGGGAAACUGAGCAUAAUACCCGGCAGACCACUUAUCCUGGAAUGGUUAGUGGUUAAAAUGAUUCGUCGCCAUAGGAUGGGACUGCGGCCUAUCAGCUUGUUGGUGAGGUAAUGGCCCACCAAGGCGAUUACAGGUACGGGCUCUGAGAGGAGAGGCCCGGAGAUGGGUACUGAGACAAGGACCCAGGCCCUAUGGGGCGCAGCAGGCGAGAAAACUUUGCAAUGUGCGAAAGCACGACAAGGUUAAUCCGAGUGAUUUCUGCUAAAGGAAUCUUUUGUUAGUUCUAAAAAUACUAGUGAAUAAGGGGUGGGCAAGUUCUGGUGUCAGCCGCCGCGGUAAAACCAGCACCUCAAGUGGUCAGGAGGAUUAUUGGGCCUAAAGCAUCCGUAGCCUGUUCUAUAAGUUUGCGGUUAAAUCUAUACGCUCAACGUAUAGGCUGCCGUAAAUACUGUAGAACUAGGGAGUGGGAGAGGUAGACGGUACUCGAUAGGAAGGGGUAAAAUCCUUUGAUCUAUUGAUGACCACCUGUGGCGAAGGCGGUCUACCAGAACACGUUCGACGGUGAGGGAUGAAAGCUGGGGGAGCAAACCGGAUUAGAUACCCGGGUAGUCCUAGGUGUAAACGCUGUGGACUUGAUGUUGGGAGUGCUCCGAGCACCCUCAGUGUCGAAGCGAAGGUGAUAAGUCCACUGCCUGGGGAGUACGGUCGCAAGGCUGAAACUUAAAGGAAUUGGCGGGGGAGCACUGCAACCUGAGGAUUGUGCGGUUUAAUUGGAUUCAACGCCGGG
This 914-nucleotide ribosomal RNA is filed under the name uncultured marine archaeon. RNAcentral describes it as "bacterial SSU rRNA". It matches the Rfam family "Archaeal small subunit ribosomal RNA", at positions 1 to 922 of the family's 1478-position model. The record is from RNAcentral.